Molecule: ribosomal RNA, 460 nt
Filed under: uncultured bacterium
Lineage: Bacteria
Description: partial 16S ribosomal RNA
Rfam family: Bacterial small subunit ribosomal RNA
Source: RNAcentral
CCUACGGGAGGCAGCAGUGGGGAAUAUUGGUCAAUGGGCGCGAGCCUGAACCAGCGAAGUAGCGUGAAGGAUGACUGCCCUACGGGUUGUAAGCUUCUUUUAUAAAGGAAUAAAGUGCGGCACGUGUGCCUUUUUGUAUGUACUUUAUGAAUAAGGCUCGGCUAACUACGUGCCAGCAGCCGCGGUAAUACGGAGGUUCCGAGCGUUAUCCGGAUUUAUUGGGUGUAAAGGGAGCGUAGACGGGUGGUUAAGUCAGGUGUGAAAGUUUGCGGCUCAACCGUAAAAUUGCAAUUGAUACUGGCAGGCUUGAGUACAGGUGAGGUAGGCGGAAUUCGUGGUGUAGCGGUGAAAUGCGUAGAUAUCACGAAGAACUCCGAUUGCGAAGGCAGCUUACUAAACUGCCACUGACAUUGAGGCUCGAAAGUGUGGGUAUCAAACAGGAUUAGAUACCCGAGUAGUC